This is an RNA transcript of Daucus carota subsp. sativus, 1070 nucleotides long. It is a transcript of the gene named peptidyl-prolyl cis-trans isomerase FKBP17-1, chloroplastic, with no coding region annotated. The transcript has 4 exons. NCBI's taxonomy places the organism in Eukaryota, Viridiplantae, Streptophyta, Magnoliopsida, Apiales, Apiaceae. The record is from RefSeq and is a predicted model, not a curated record.
AUAUGAUAGACGUGGAUGAAGGUCAAAGAGGCCAAGUACAAGAUAACGAUAAUUGAGUGCAUGGCGUCACUUUCACAUCUCCAUGUUCCUCACAUUCUCACCACCCGCUUAUCUACUGUCCAGAAAAAACAAGUCUACGCAGCAGCUUCUUCUGUUGAAUCCAACUCAAGAAGAGCUCUCCUUUUCUCAUCUGUAUCCACUGCAUUAUCACUACUAAUAUGUUCUGAAUCUACUGCCCUCGCUAGACCCACCACCAUUUCUGACUUUUUCGAGCUUCCGGAUUCUGGCGGCGUCAAGGCUUUGGAUCUUCGCGUUGCUCAAGGUGAACUUCCCGUUGACGGUGAUCAGGUUGCAAUUCAUUACUAUGGAAGGUUGGCAGCAAAGCAAGGUUGGCGGUUUGAUUCAACAUAUGAUCACAAAGAUGAAACGGGGGAACCAAUUCCCUUCACUUUCGUGCUUGGGUCUGACAAUGUGAUAUCAGGUAUUCAAGCAGCGGUAAGAUCUAUGAAAGUGGGCAGCAUCCGAAGGGUGGUCAUUCCUCCAUCCCAAGGGUAUCAGAACAUGUUACAAGAACCAUUACCACCAAAUGUGGGUACGCUCUCUCUGUGUCCCUAUCUUCUCUUGACCUGUUAUACUUAGAUGCACCUCGGCACCUGUCACCUUGUUUAUACAAGAAGCACAAUUAGCUAUGCAGAACAAAAGGUCAUGGAUUCUUAAGAAUCAACGAGUAUUUUGACAGGCAAAGGUUGUUUACCACCAUUUUUAAUCCAACGCGUCUAGCCAACGGGGAAGGCUCCACUCUGGGGACACUUAUCUUUGACAUUGAGUUGGUUAGCCUGAGACAUCGCUAAACUCCUGGAACACAUCAUCUUCUAUUGCAGCCACACGGGCGAUACCUUGUUAACUUUUCAAUGUACCAAGUACUCUUCCACUGUCCUGUAUCAUCUUCUGUAAAUUAUAUCACAGCUAUGAUAACAUAAUUGAUACGAUUAGAUUAGAAGCCAGCGCUUGGUUCACUUGGAAAUUUGUUAAUAAAGUGAAAAUGGAAUUAAAUUUGUCCCAGUAUAAAA